Molecule: unclassified non-coding RNA, 299 nt
Organism: Fukomys damarensis (Damara mole-rat)
Lineage: Eukaryota; Metazoa; Chordata; Mammalia; Rodentia; Bathyergidae
Gene: 7SK
Rfam family: 7SK RNA
About the family: 7SK was discovered as an abundant small nuclear RNA in the mid-70s but a possible function has only recently been suggested. Two independent studies have found that 7SK RNA binds the CDK9/cyclin T complex (known as elongation factor P-TEFb).
Source: Ensembl
GGAUGUGAGGGUGAUCCAGCUGCAACAUCUGUCACCCUACUGAUUGUCAGGUUGAUUCGGCUGAUCUGGCUGGCUAGGCGGGUGUCCCCUUCCUCCCUCACCGCUCCAUGUGCGUCCCUCCUGAAGCUCUGUGCUCGUGCUCGGUAGAAGAGGACCAUUUCCUCUGUCACGGGUAUACAAGUAGCUAGAACCCCUGCUAGAACCUCCCAACAAGCUCUCAAAAUUAACAUUUUUCUAACUUCAAAAAAUUGGGUGGCUAAACCCAGCACCCUGAGAAUUGAAAAUGUGAGCCUAGCCAG